CUGUUGUGGGUAAACAUCCAUAAAUUCUACCCUGGCUGAGAAACAUUUAACUUUUUCGUCUAGGUUGAGUGUGUGCGUGUGUUUGUAGGGGAGGGGUAACCCCUUUUGAUCAACGGAUUGAUGGUUUUCUAAGUAAAUACUUAAUAUCCACAAGGAUUUUUUUUUUUUUUUUUUCGUUUAUGCUGCUUUUUCUCCCUUUCUGCACUAUAAAGGCUGGCCUCCCAAUUCCUACCCCGACCCUUUACCGUGGUCCAAUCCCACAAGAUUCCCCGAAUUUCUGCGCCGGGUGGCACCUGACGGCCAAAAGUGAAUCCCUGCGGCUGGCGCUAGCUAGGCGCGGAUAGGGCGGACUUCUGUCACCGGGGAGCAGGCGUGGGCCAAAGCCGAGGUGAUUUCUGACUGCUCACUGGCGAGCCUCGCGCGGCUGAAGGUCUCCGAGCCCCUCUGUUCGCUCCGGCAAGCCAGAAGUGCAGCUGUCGCGGGGCAGGAAGCUAAUCGCGGCCCCUGCGCCGCUCUGACAGGCCGAGUGGGGAGAAAAGGGGCUCAAGAGCUGUAGCUAGCAGCCUCACCCCUUGGACUAGGAAGCCACGGGAGCAAAACCUCCAACCCGGCCUGAAAGCAAGCGGGAGACCGCGGAGCCACCGCCACCGACUCAGCCCUGCCCAGCAGGGGCCCGCCCAGGGGCCACUCCCCAAGGGAGGCAGCCAGUCACUCGCCCGCCCUUCCGGGCCCACUCCCGAGGGGACGGUCUCCCGCCCGCCCUCACACACAGCUAGUUCCUCAGGCCAGGCCCCCAGGGCUUCGUCCACCUCUCACCUUUGACGACGCGAAACAAGAAUGAGAUGGGGCAAAUCUGUAGCUAGGUGUGAAGAACGACUGCAGGGAAACACACCCGCUCUCAUGGCAAUCCCAGUAAACUGAGAAAACGUGAUUAAACCUCAGGAUCUCCUACUAAUAGAGAAACAAAUGUAUAACGA
This is a non-coding RNA of Saimiri boliviensis boliviensis (Bolivian squirrel monkey), 977 nucleotides long. The record is from RefSeq and is a predicted model, not a curated record. NCBI's taxonomy places the organism in Eukaryota, Metazoa, Chordata, Mammalia, Primates, Cebidae.